This 400-nucleotide ribosomal RNA is filed under the name uncultured Pseudomonas sp. Its description in RNAcentral is "bacterial SSU rRNA". It matches the Rfam family "Bacterial small subunit ribosomal RNA", at positions 983 to 1382 of the family's 1533-position model. Lineage: Bacteria; Pseudomonadati; Pseudomonadota; Gammaproteobacteria; Pseudomonadales; Pseudomonadaceae. The record is from RNAcentral.
GACAUGCAGAGAACUUUCCAGAGAUGGAUUGGUGCCUUCGGGAACUCUGACACAGGUGCUGCAUGGCUGUCGUCAGGCUCGUGUCGUGAGAUGUUGGGUUAAGUCCGUAACGAGCGCAACCCUUGUCCUUAGUUACCAGCACGUUAUGGUGGGCACUCUAAGGAGACUGCCGGUGACAAACCGGAGGAAGGUGGGGAUGACGUCAAGUCAUCAUGGCCCUUACGGCCUGGGCUACACACGUGCUACAAUGGUCGGUACAAAGGGUUGCCAAGCCGCGAGGUGGAGCUAAUCCCAUAAAACCGAUCGUAGUCCGGAUCGCAGUCUGCAACUCGACUGCGUGAAGUCGGAAUCGCUAGUAAUCGUGAAUCAGAAUGUCACGGUGAAUACGUUCCCGGGCCUU